This 406-nucleotide ribosomal RNA is filed under the name uncultured Burkholderia sp. RNAcentral's name for it is "bacterial SSU rRNA". It matches the Rfam family "Bacterial small subunit ribosomal RNA", at positions 510 to 916 of the family's 1533-position model. Lineage: Bacteria; Pseudomonadati; Pseudomonadota; Betaproteobacteria; Burkholderiales; Burkholderiaceae. The record is from RNAcentral.
AGCAGCCGCGGUAAUACGUAGGGUGCAAGCGUUAAUCGGAAUUACUGGGCGUAAAGCGUGCGCAGGCGGUCCGCUAAGACAGAUGUGAAAUCCCCGGGCUUAACCUGGGAACUGCAUUUGUGACUGGCGGGCUAGAGUAUGGCAGAGGGGGGUAGAAUUCCACGUGUAGCAGUGAAAUGCGUAGAGAUGUGGAGGAAUACCGAUGGCGAAGGCAGCCCCCUGGGCCAAUACUGACGCUCAUGCACGAAAGCGUGGGGAGCAAACAGGAUUAGAUACCCUGGUAGUCCACGCCCUAAACGAUGUCAACUAGUUGUCGGGUCUUCAUUGACUUGGUAACGUAGCUAACGCGUGAAGUUGACCGCCUGGGGAGUACGGUCGCAAGAUUAAAACUCAAAGGAAUUGACGG